UUUUUCUUUGGCUUUAAUGAAUUUUUCAUUAUUAUCUUUGGUUAAUAAAUCCUUUAACUGUUUAGUGUACUGAGCCUUUAGUUUAGGAUCAGUAAUUUUACUAAUUAGAUCAAUCAACAAAGAACUUUCUUCAUCAUCUUUGUUAAUUACAUUAACUCUUUUUGUGCAACACUGCUCGUUGCAAUUGUCUGCGCAAAUAGUGAC
RNAcentral lists this long non-coding RNA (204 nucleotides) under Panax ginseng (ginseng). RNAcentral's name for it is "long non-coding RNA (PGIN_LNC006933)". Lineage: Eukaryota; Viridiplantae; Streptophyta; Magnoliopsida; Apiales; Araliaceae. The record is from RNAcentral.